This 838-nucleotide ribosomal RNA is filed under the name Escherichia coli. RNAcentral describes it as "partial 23S ribosomal RNA". It matches the Rfam family "Bacterial large subunit ribosomal RNA", at positions 55 to 934 of the family's 2925-position model. The record is from RNAcentral. Lineage: Bacteria; Pseudomonadati; Pseudomonadota; Gammaproteobacteria; Enterobacterales; Enterobacteriaceae.
GACGUGCUAAUCUGCGAUAAGCGUCGGUAAGGUGAUAUGAACCGUUAUAACCGGCGAUUUCCGAAUGGGGAAACCCAGUGUGAUUCGUCACACUAUCAUUAACUGAAUCCAUAGGUUAAUGAGGCGAACCGGGGGAACUGAAACAUCUAAGUACCCCGAGGAAAAGAAAUCAACCGAGAUUCCCCCAGUAGCGGCGAGCGAACGGGGAGCAGCCCAGAGCCUGAAUCAGUGUGUGUGUUAGUGGAAGCGUCUGGAAAGGCGCGCGAUACAGGGUGACAGCCCCGUACACAAAAAUGCACAUGCUGUGAGCUCGAUGAGUAGGGCGGGACACGUGGUAUCCUGUCUGAAUAUGGGGGGACCAUCCUCCAAGGCUAAAUACUCCUGACUGACCGAUAGUGAACCAGUACCGUGAGGGAAAGGCGAAAAGAACCCCGGCGAGGGGAGUGAAAAAGAACCUGAAACCGUGUACGUACAAGCAGUGGGAGCACGCUUAGGCGUGUGACUGCGUACCUUUUGUAUAAUGGGUCAGCGACUUAUAUUCUGUAGCAAGGUUAACCGAAUAGGGGAGCCGAAGGGAAACCGAGUCUUAACUGGGCGUUAAGUUGCAGGGUAUAGACCCGAAACCCGGUGAUCUAGCCAUGGGCAGGUUGAAGGUUGGGUAACACUAACUGGAGGACCGAACCGACUAAUGUUGAAAAAUUAGCGGAUGACUUGUGGCUGGGGGUGAAAGGCCAAUCAAACCGGGAGAUAGCUGGUUCUCCCCGAAAGCUAUUUAGGUAGCGCCUCGUGAAUUCAUCUCCGGGGGUAGAGCACUGUUUCGGCAAGGGGGUCAUCCCGA